RNAcentral lists this ribosomal RNA (497 nucleotides) under uncultured bacterium. Its description in RNAcentral is "partial 16S ribosomal RNA". It matches the Rfam family "Bacterial small subunit ribosomal RNA", at positions 28 to 507 of the family's 1533-position model. The record is from RNAcentral.
GAUGAACGCUGGCGGCGUGCCUAAUACAUGCAAGUCGAGCGAACAGACGAGGAGCUUGCUCCUCUGACGUUAGCGGCGGACGGGUGAGUAACACGUGGAUAACCUACCUAUAAGACUGGGAUAACUUCGGGAAACCGGAGCUAAUACCGGAUAAUAUAUUGAACCGCAUGGUUCAAUAGUGAAAGACGGUUUUGCUGUCACUUAUAGAUGGAUCCGCGCCGCAUUAGCUAGUUGGUAAGGUAACGGCUUACCAAGGCAACGAUGCGUAGCCGACCUGAGAGGGUGAUCGGCCCCACUGGAACUGAGACACGGUCCAGACUCCUACGGGAGGCAGCAGUAGGGAAUCUUCCGCAAUGGGCGAAAGCAUGACGGAGCAACGCCGCGUGAGUGAUGAAGGUCUUCGGAUCGUAAAACUCUGUUAUUAGGGAAGAACAAAUGUGUAAGUAACUAUGCACGUCUUGACGGUACCUAAUCAGAAAGCCACGGCUAACUACGUG